Molecule: ribosomal RNA, 464 nt
Filed under: uncultured bacterium
Lineage: Bacteria
Description: partial 16S ribosomal RNA
Rfam family: Bacterial small subunit ribosomal RNA
Source: RNAcentral
CUACGGGCGGCUGCAGUGGGGAAUAUUGGACAAUGGGCGAAAGCCUGAUCCAGCAAUGCCGCGUGUGCGAUGAAGGCCUGAGGGUUGUAAAGCACUUUCGUUGGGAAAGAAAUGCUCAAAGCUAAUACCUUUGAGAGUUGACGUUACCCAAAGAAGAAGCACCGGCUAACUCUGUGCCAGCAGCCGCGGUAAUACAGAGGGUGCAAGCGUUAAUCGGAGUUACUGGGCGUAAAGGGCGCGUAGGCGGAUACUUAAGUCGGAUGUGAAAUCCCUGGGCUCAACCUAGGAACUGCGUUCGAUACUAAGUGCCUAGAGUAUGGUAGAGGAAAGUGGAAUUCCCGGUGUAGUGGUAAAAUACGUAGAUAUCGGGAGGAACAUCAGUGGCGAAGGCGACUUUCUGGGCCAAUACUGACGCUGAGGCGCGAAAGCGUGGGGAGCAAACAGGAUUAGAUACCCUCGUAGUC